This 292-nucleotide ribosomal RNA is filed under the name uncultured Lactobacillales bacterium. RNAcentral describes it as "partial 16S ribosomal RNA". It matches the Rfam family "Bacterial small subunit ribosomal RNA", at positions 505 to 796 of the family's 1533-position model. Lineage: Bacteria; Bacillati; Bacillota; Bacilli; Lactobacillales. The record is from RNAcentral.
GUGUCAGCCGCCGCGGUAAUACGUAGGUGGCAAGCGUUAUCCGGAAUUAUUGGGCGUAAAGCGCGCGUAGGCGGUUUCUUAAGUCUGAUGUGAAAGCCCCCGGCUCAACCGGGGAGGGUCAUUGGAAACUGGUUGACUUGAGUGCAGAAGAGGAGAGUGGAAUUCCAUGUGUAGCGGUGAAAUGCGUAGAUAUAUGGAGGAACACCAGUGGCGAAGGCGACUCUCUGGUCUGUAACUGACGCUGAGGCUCGAAAGCGUGGGUAGCAAACAGGAUUAGAAACCCUCGUAGUCC